Molecule: transfer RNA, 67 nt
Filed under: Marmota monax (woodchuck)
Lineage: Eukaryota; Metazoa; Chordata; Mammalia; Rodentia; Sciuridae
Description: tRNA.Val
Source: RNAcentral
GGAUAUGGCUCAAUGGUAGACCAUUUGCUGAACAUGCAUGAGGCCCUGGGUUCAAUCCCCAGCACCA